GAAAGAAAUCAUAUAUUGGAUAAAGCUGUUGGAUUACAAUGGUUGAUAUUACAAGGGAAACAUCAUCGAAAUGUGAUGCAUAACCUAAAUAUUUUCUUGACAGCGAAACUUACAUAAAAAGCAUCCUUCAACAUCCCUACAACUUAACUAAACUUAACCGGGGAACACCAUCCGACAGAAACAUCAUCCCUACAACUUAACUAAAACUGAUAGCAUCCAUCAUCAUCAUCAUGGACCGGAACAUCAUUAUCAUCAUGAAACGGAACAUCAUCAUCAUUGCAAUAUACUUGCCACGCACCAUUAUAAUCAUCCAUAUAUCUUUUGAAUCUACAAAGAAAAUAACAAAAUGAACUGUUAAUACACAAUGCAUUGACAUGAUGAAUGUAGUGAUAGAGGCAGCAGGAUGUUAGGCACGUACGUACAAAGGUUGAAGGCUAUGCAAUCUUCUUUUUUCUGCAUUAUCGAGAGUAUUGCAGCUUUUGCGACUCCGUACCGAAUCUUCAGUUUUCACAAGUGCCAUAUCGACAUGCACUACCAAGAAUUCAUUUGUAAUUUUAGCAUCAUCAAGUUUAAAUUUAGGAUCACAACUUACAACUAUAGCAAGAGCUACGUCCCUAUUAUGAUUGUGAAAAGAUACCGGCAUGAGUGUUAGUUGUCAUUGAUGACUAAUCACGACGCCACAAUAUAUGACACAGC
Molecule: long non-coding RNA, 696 nt
Filed under: Triticum aestivum (bread wheat)
Lineage: Eukaryota; Viridiplantae; Streptophyta; Magnoliopsida; Poales; Poaceae
Description: long non-coding RNA (TAES_LNC021481)
Source: RNAcentral